GAUGAACGCUGGCGGCGUGCCUAAUACAUGCAAGUCGAGCGAACAGACGAGGAGCUUGCUCCUCUGACGUUAGCGGCGGACGGGUGAGUAACACGUGGAUAACCUACCUAUAAGACUGGGAUAACUUCGGGAAACCGGAGCUAAUACCGGAUAAUAUAUUGAACCGCAUGGUUCAAUAGUGAAAGACGGUUUUGCUGUCACUUAUAGAUGGAUCCGCGCCGCAUUAGCUAGUUGGUAAGGUAACGGCUUACCAAGGCAACGAUGCGUAGCCGACCUGAGAGGGUGAUCGGCCACACUGGAACCGAGACACGGUCCAGACUCCUACGGGAGGAAGCAGUAGGGAAUCUUCCGCAAUGGGCGAAAGCCUGACGGAGCAACGCCGCGUGAGUGAUGAAGGUCUUCGGAUCUUAAAACUCUGUUAUUAGGGAAGAACAAAUGUGUAAGUAACUAUGCACGUCUUGACGGUACCUAAUCAGAAAGCCACGGCUAACUACGUG
This 497-nucleotide ribosomal RNA is filed under the name uncultured bacterium. RNAcentral describes it as "partial 16S ribosomal RNA". It matches the Rfam family "Bacterial small subunit ribosomal RNA", at positions 28 to 507 of the family's 1533-position model. The record is from RNAcentral.